RNAcentral lists this ribosomal RNA (392 nucleotides) under uncultured bacterium. RNAcentral describes it as "partial 16S ribosomal RNA". It matches the Rfam family "Bacterial small subunit ribosomal RNA", at positions 523 to 918 of the family's 1533-position model. The record is from RNAcentral.
AUACGGAGGAUGCGAGCGUUAUCCGGAUUUAUUGGGUUUAAAGGGAGCGUAGGUGGGAUAUUAAGUCAGCUGUGAAAGUUUGGGGCUCAACCUUAAAAUUGCAGUUGAUACUGGUUUCCUUGAGUACGGUACAGGUGGGCGGAAUUCGUGGUGUAGCGGUGAAUGCUUAGAUAUCACGAAGAACUCCGAUCGCGAAGGCAGCUCACCGGGCCGGAACUGACACUGAUGCUCGAAAGUGCGGGUAUCAAACAGGAUUAGAUACCCUGGUAGUCCGCACAGUAAACGAUGAAUACUCGCUGUUUGCGAUACACUGUAAGCGGCCAAGCGAAAGCGUUAAGUAUUCCACCUGGGGAGUACGCCGGCAACGGUGAAACUCAAAUGAAUUGACGGGG